Melanotaenia boesemani (Boeseman's rainbowfish) is the source of this 120-nucleotide long non-coding RNA. RefSeq lists it as uncharacterized. The transcript has 3 exons. Lineage: Eukaryota; Metazoa; Chordata; Actinopteri; Atheriniformes; Melanotaeniidae. The record is from RefSeq and is a predicted model, not a curated record.
UUCUGAGCAACAGUGUUGGAUUUGUGUGACCUCUUCUGCCUCAGUUCAAGAACAGAUGGAAGACUGCUCUUAACACCAAAACGGUUCAUAUUACUACACUGAAAUUUCAGCUCAUUUAAG